RNAcentral lists this ribosomal RNA (497 nucleotides) under uncultured bacterium. RNAcentral describes it as "partial 16S ribosomal RNA". It matches the Rfam family "Bacterial small subunit ribosomal RNA", at positions 28 to 507 of the family's 1533-position model. The record is from RNAcentral.
GAUGAACGCUGGCGGCGUGCCUAAUACAUGCAAGUCGAGCGAACAGACGAGGAGCUUGCUCCUCUGACGUUAGCGGCGGACGGGUGAGUAACACGUGGAUAACCUACCUAUAAGACUGGGAUAACUUCGGGAAACCGGAGCUAAUACCGGAUAAUAUAUUGAACCGCAUGGUUCAAUAGUGAAAGACGGUUUUGCUGUCACUUAUAGAUGGAUCCGCGCCGCAUUAGCUAGUUGGUAAGGUAACGGCUUAUCAAGGCAACGAUGCGUAGCCGACCUGAGAGGGUGAUCGGCCACACUGGAACGGAGACACGGUCCAGACGCCUACGGGAGGCAGCAGUAGGGAAUCGUCCGCAAUGGGCGAAAGCUUGACGGAGCAACGCCGCGUGAGUGAUGAAGGUCUUCGGAUCGUAAAACUCUGUUAUUAGGGAAGAACAAAUGUGUAAGUAACUAUGCACGUCUUGACGGUACCUAAUCAGAAAGCCACGGCUAACUACGUG